Neltuma alba is the source of this 277-nucleotide long non-coding RNA. RefSeq lists it as uncharacterized. The record is from RefSeq and is a predicted model, not a curated record. Lineage: Eukaryota; Viridiplantae; Streptophyta; Magnoliopsida; Fabales; Fabaceae. The transcript has 3 exons.
AACUGUUUUACAACAGCAGCCAUAUGGCUGUGGCCUUUCUGAAACUCAUUUAGUAGGUCAUACAAUGGCAUUGUUUCAGAAACCCUGGUUUAAGGGUCAUUGUGGCUCAGGUCCUUCAUUUAACAGAUGCCAUCAAGCUGCCACUAGAUUGGUAUUCUAGUCUUUAUGAAGACAAGUGAUGGUAUGCCAUCGGUUGAGCCUGCAAAUGUACUGGGUGGCACAAUUCAAGAGGGAUAACAAUAUAAUCAAGGAGACUGAAGAAAAAACUUAAAUCAAU